Molecule: transfer RNA, 72 nt
Filed under: Odocoileus virginianus texanus
Lineage: Eukaryota; Metazoa; Chordata; Mammalia; Artiodactyla; Cervidae
Also listed under: 1 other name
Rfam family: tRNA
About the family: Transfer RNA (tRNA) molecules are approximately 80 nucleotides in length.
Source: Rfam by way of RNAcentral
UCCUGGGUAGUUCAAAUGGUAAAGAAUCUGCCUGCAAUGCUGGAGACCUGGGUUCGAUCCCUGGAUCAGGAA